This is a long non-coding RNA of Chelonia mydas (Green sea turtle), 273 nucleotides long. RefSeq lists it as uncharacterized. NCBI's taxonomy places the organism in Eukaryota, Metazoa, Chordata, Testudines, Cheloniidae. The record is from RefSeq and is a predicted model, not a curated record. The transcript has 2 exons.
AUUAAUAAGACUGGGGCUUUUCAUCUUGGAAAAUAAAUGGCUAAGGGAAGAUAUGAUUGAGGUCUAUAAAAUGAUGACUGGUGUAGAGAAAGUAAAUAAGGAAGUGUUAUUUACUCCUUCUCAUAAUGCAAGACCUAGGGGUCGCCAAAUCAAAUUAAUGGGCAACAGAUUUAAAACAAACAAAAGGAAGUAUUGUUUCACAAAACACACAGUCAACCUGUGGAACUCCUUGCCAGAGGAUGUUGUGAAGGCCAAGACUAUAACAGGAUUCAA